Molecule: ribosomal RNA, 933 nt
Filed under: Meliola buteae
Lineage: Eukaryota; Fungi; Ascomycota; Sordariomycetes; Meliolales; Meliolaceae
Description: partial large subunit ribosomal RNA
Rfam family: Eukaryotic large subunit ribosomal RNA
Source: RNAcentral
UUACUACCGUGUUAUUUUAUGUCUCUCCUAUUUUAGCUGAAGGCAAGGAAACCGAACGAGGGAUUGCCCCAGUAACUGCGAGUGAAGCGGCAGCAGGCCCGGAUUUGAAAUCUGGCCUUCUGUAGGAGGUCUGAGUUGUAAUCUGUAGAGGAUGUCGUUGGCCGACAGCUGGUUCGACGUCCGCGUGGAAUGUGGUGCCAUAGAGGGUGAGAGCCCCGUGCGAUAGAGGCUGGACGGUCAUGAUACGGCUCCUUCGGCGAGUCGAGUAGUUUGGGAAUGCUGCUCUAAAUCGGAGAUAAAUUCGUUAUAAGGCUAAAUAUCGGCCGGAGACCGAUAGCGCACACGUAGAGUGAUCGAAAGAUGAAAAGUACUUUGAAAAGAGGGUUAAACAGUACGUGAAAUUGUUGAAAGGGAAGCGCCCGAGACUAGAGUUGUACCUGACCGAUCGCUCCGCGACCCCGUGUCGUGGAGUUUCCCGGUCAUGGUUUGCAGGCCAACAUCGGUUUGUGCUGGGGGAUAAGAGUAGUGGGAAAGUAGCCUGUCCUCGGGGGAGUGUUAUAGCCCAGCACCCGGUACCCCCACCCCGACCGAGGAACGCGUCUUCGGACCGGGAAGGGGGGCAAAUGGUCGUUGGGCCCCCCUUCUGAAACCGGGCACCAGGUGUUGAGUUUUUCCGGGGGGUUGUGGGUCGUAGAACCGCCCGCGAAAAAAAAGGAAAGGCAAGGGAGGACCCUUUUUGGGCGCACCAUCGACCGAUCCUGAUGUCUUCGGAUGGAUUUGAGUAGGAGCAUAGCUGCUCGGACCCGAAAGAUGGUGAACUAUGCCUGAAUAGGGUGAAGCCAGAGGAAACUCUGGUGGAGGCUCGCAGCGGUUCUGACGUGCAAAAUCGAUCGUCAAAUGUGGGCAUAGGGGCGAUAAGGAACCUAAUCCGGC